CUGGCUCAGGAUGAACGCUGGCGGCGUGCUUAACACAUGCAAGUCGAACGAAGCACCUCUAAUCGAAGAUUGAGAAAGCUUGCUUUGAUUGAUUCACCUUGAGGUGACUGAGUGGCGGACGGGUGAGUAACGCGUGGGUAACCUACCCUAUACAGGGGGAUAACAGUUGGAAACGACUGCUAAUACCGCAUAAGCGCACGGGACCGCAUGGUCUAGUGUGAAAAACUCCGGUGGUAUAGGAUGGACCCGCGUCUGAUUAGCUAGUUGGUGAGGUAACGGCUCACCAAGGCGACGAUCAGUAGCCGACCUGAGAGGGUGACCGGCCACAUUGGGACUGAGACACGGCCCAAACUCCUACGGGAGGCGGCAGUGGGGAAUAUUGCACAAUGGGCGAAAGCCUGAUGCAGCGACGCCGCGUGAACGAAGAAGUAUUUCGGUAUGUAAAGUUCUAUCAGCAGGGAAGAAAAAUGACGGUACCUGACUAAGAAGCUCCGGCUAAAUACGUGCCAGCCGCAGC
This 517-nucleotide ribosomal RNA is filed under the name uncultured bacterium. RNAcentral's name for it is "bacterial SSU rRNA". It matches the Rfam family "Bacterial small subunit ribosomal RNA", at positions 19 to 518 of the family's 1533-position model. The record is from RNAcentral.